CUGCGGCAGCGACGCUUAUGCGUUGUUGGGUAGGGGAGCGUUCUGUAAGCCUGCGAAGGUGGCCUGUGAGGGUUGCUGGAGGUAUCAGAAGUGCGAAUGCUGACAUAAGUAACGAUAAAGCGGGUGAAAAGCCCGCUCGCCGGAAGACCAAGGGUUCCUGUCCAACGUUAAUCGGGGCAGGGUGAGUCGACCCCUAAGGCGAGGCCGAAAGGCGUAGUCGAUGGGAAACGGGUUAAUAUUCCCGUACUUGGUGUUACUGCGAAGGGGGGACGGAGAAGGCUAUGUUGGCCGGGCGACGGUUGUCCCGGUUUAAGCGUGUAGGUGUGUGUUCCAGGUAAAUCCGGUUCACUUUAACACUGAGGCGUGACGACGAGGCACUACGGUGCUGAAGCAACAAAUGCCCUGCUUCCAGGAAAAGCCUCUAAGCAUCAGGUAACAUCAAAUCGUACCCCAAACCGACACAGGUGGUCAGGUAGAGAAUACCAAGGCGCUUGAGAGAACUCGGGUGAAGGAACUAGGCAAAAUGGUGCCGUAACUUCGGGAGAAGGCACGCUGACACGUAGGUGAAGUGAUUUACUCAUGGAGCUGAAGUCAGUCGAAGAUACCAGCUGGCUGCAACUGUUUAUUAAAAACACAGCACUGUGCAAACACGAAAGUGGACGUAUACGGUGUGACGCCUGCCCGGUGCCGGAAGGUUAAUUGAUGGGGUCAGCGCAAGCGAAGCUCCUGAUCGAAGCCCCGGUAAACGGCGGCCGUAACUAUAACGGUCCUAAGGUAGCGAAAUUCCUUGUCGGGUAAGUUCCGACCUGCACGAAUGGCGUAAUGAUGGCCAGGCUGUCUCCACCCGAGACUCAGUGAAAUUGAACUCGCUGUGAAGAUGCAGUGUACCCGCGGCAAGACGGAAAGACCCCGUGAACCUUUACUAUAGCUUGACACUGAACAUUGAGCCUUGAUGUGUAGGAUAGGUGGGAGGCUUUGAAGUGUGGA
This 987-nucleotide ribosomal RNA is filed under the name Salmonella enterica. Its description in RNAcentral is "partial 23S ribosomal RNA". It matches the Rfam family "Bacterial large subunit ribosomal RNA", at positions 1200 to 2168 of the family's 2925-position model. The record is from RNAcentral. Lineage: Bacteria; Pseudomonadati; Pseudomonadota; Gammaproteobacteria; Enterobacterales; Enterobacteriaceae.